Molecule: long non-coding RNA, 1081 nt
Organism: Mytilus californianus (California mussel)
Lineage: Eukaryota; Metazoa; Mollusca; Bivalvia; Mytilida; Mytilidae
Exons: 2
Source: RefSeq, a predicted model, not a curated record
UACACAUCCGAUUGUAAACAAAACAAGAUUCCGUCCGUAAAACUUUCGAAGAGAUUAGUUCAACUUUAUCAUUCAAACACUUCGUAUCGUAUCAACUGUAUCCACAGCAGAUUCACGAUGUCCCUUGAUUAACCCUGAAACAAGAUUUGAAUUGCUGGUAUUGAUGUUAGUGACUUUGAAAGAAGAAUUGUUGAGCUUUUGACUUUGGAAAAGAUUGUGCAGAGAAAAUUGCGUUUCCGUCCUUUUAUUUCGCCCAUCGGCCGUCUUAAGUGGUUGAGUCUCCAUAAGUGAUCAUAAGUAGCAACUUCUACUGUCUAUUGUGAAAUUUCAAGAGCACGAUAAGUUCUCAUUUUUCCAGCAGUUGAACUGAAUGCAUUAGGACUGAUCGACAGUAUUGAAGAUGUCCUGCAAAACUUUGAUGAAUCCAAGUGUACUAAACACUGUUGGUUUACCCGUUUUUGCUCUUUUGUCCGAGAUGGUAAUAAAUGUGAAUUUUCCGUCGUUAUCUAACGAUUCAUACAGAUGCCGAUAAAUAUCAAUACCAUGCUUUAUGAAAACUUUUAGUUUGGUUCAAACUUGCAUCAAACCUUAUUGACAGUUGCAGUUAGUUUAAAACAAAACUUUAUACAACAAAAAGAGAUGACUUCAAUUUUUCCAUUGUGAAAUUUCCAUUUAUAAGUACCAACAACCUGGAUUUCUCAAAGUUAAUAUGAUAUUACAGAGUUUCAUAUAACAGUUUCCUUGAUUGCUGGUCGCUGAUUACAAGAAGCUACUGAACCAAUGCUAUUUAAUGUGGAUCAUUGGUAUAUAUUUCCUCAAAUAACAUUUUCUUAUACUCUGCCAUAAUUAAGAUUUUUCCAUGCUUUUUUUAAAAACGUUAUAAAAAGCGUGGGUCACUCGCCGCCGUGCUAUUUUUCAAGCUACAAAUCGUGCAAAAUUGCCCAAAUUUGCAUAGAUUGUUCAUGAAAAAACAGUUUUUUGUGUAUAAAAAGAAAUCUAUGAGAUAAAAUUUUAGAAUAUAAAAUAUGAGAAAAUAGGUUUUAAAAUAUGCUUUUAAGAAUAAAAAAAAAAUUGGUGUCAC